Molecule: long non-coding RNA, 542 nt
Organism: Gallus gallus (chicken)
Lineage: Eukaryota; Metazoa; Chordata; Aves; Galliformes; Phasianidae
Source: Ensembl
CCCACUGUGCCCACUGACCUCUGUCCUCAGGUGCCUGAUCUCCAGGUUCUGGAACACCUCCAGGGAUGAUGACUCCCAUCACAAUGAUCACCCACCAUCAGCUGGACAGAGAGUUGGGUGAACAAGCCAGAAGUGCUUAGAAACUCCUGAGUAUCCUGCCUGAGACCCAAGUGAUGUUUUCCAAAUAAUGUCCCUGGGGGAAGACACAGCAGUUUCAGAUGCUGCUGUAAUGUAGAAGAAGAGAGGCAGAGCUCGGGAGACCUGACAGGAGUGAUACCCCUUUAUCCUAUGACCACAUCUACUGUGGGACCUCCUCAACUGCCAUCUUCUUGAUUUGAAGCCUUUUCUUCAAGACAGAGACCCAAAGAAGUGCCACACGCACAGCACCUGGAGCAGCCAAAGAGUUAAAUCACUUCCCAUCGCCGUUUACAUGGGAUACAGAAACAACUUUUCCUGCUGCAUCUGUAGCUGCCAGCAGAACUCAGUGACAGCUUUAUAAAUCACACCUGAAGCAAAUAAAAAUGCCAUGUCCAGAAUGAGCC